Molecule: unclassified non-coding RNA, 460 nt
Filed under: Crotalaria lathyroides
Lineage: Eukaryota; Viridiplantae; Streptophyta; Magnoliopsida; Fabales; Fabaceae
Description: partial external transcribed spacer
Source: RNAcentral
UGCGGGGCAUGGUUCAUUUGANAGCGUUGUGUCUUGCAAACGUGAGUGCGUGUGAGUGGUGAUCGGGAUGGUUGUGCUGUUUGGCUCCUUGCUCAUGGUUUUGGAACUUCUAGCAUGCAACCCUUCUCAUGCAUGCCUUGUGCUGGUGAGCCUCGGUUUUCACUUGUGGUUCUUGUGUUGCCUACCCAUUAAGCGGUAUCAUACGUGUGCCGCGAAGACCCGUUCCUUCCGUGCCCCCUCGUGGAGGUUGAUGGGGGAAUUCUAAUUUGAUGUGUGUUUUGCGUUAGUUGUGCGUUGUAACGGCUCACGUGCCCACACAUGUCUAUUGUUCCCUUGGAUGCGGUGCAUGCGAUGAACGUGGGCUGGUGUUUGUGCCUCGUUAAGUCCCUAUGAUAUAUCGGUUGCCUUUUCAAGACACUUUGCCGUAGNGCCGGUCUUGCUAUCCCAUUGGUGGUGGCAU